CUUGCUCCCUGAUGUUAGCGGCGGACGGGUGAGUAACACGUGGGUAACCUGCCUGUAAGACUGGGAUAACUCCGGGAAACCGGGGCUAAUACCGGAUGGUUGUUUGAACCGCAUGGUUCAGACAUAAAAGGUGGCUUCGGCUACCACUUACAGAUGGACCCGCGGCGCAUUAGCUAGUUGGUGAGGUAACGGCUCACCAAGGCAACGAUGCGUAGCCGACCUGAGAGGGUGAUCGGCCACACUGGGACUGAGACACGGCCCAGACUCCUACGGGAGGCAGCAGUAGGGAAUCUUCCGCAAUGGACGAAAGUCUGACGGAGCAACGCCGCGUGAGUGAUGAAGGUUUUCGGAUCGUAAAGCUCUGUUGUUAGGGAAGAACAAGUGCCGUUCAAAUAGGGCGGCACCUUGACGGUACCUAACCAGAAAGCCACGGCUAACUACGUGCCAGCAGCCGCGGUAAUACGUAGGUGGCAAGCGUUGUCCGGAAUUAUUGGGCGUAAAGGGCUCGCAGGCGGUUUCUUAAGUCUGAUGUGAAAGCCCCCGGCUCAACCGGGGAGGGUCAUUGGAAACUGGGGAACUUGAGUGCAGAAGAGGAGAGUGGAAUUCCACGUGUAGCGGUG
Molecule: ribosomal RNA, 620 nt
Filed under: Bacillus velezensis
Lineage: Bacteria; Bacillati; Bacillota; Bacilli; Caryophanales; Bacillaceae
Description: bacterial SSU rRNA
Rfam family: Bacterial small subunit ribosomal RNA
Source: RNAcentral